UCAAUAAAUAUUUGUAGAAUGCAUGAAUGAA
This 31-nucleotide non-coding RNA is filed under the name Bos taurus (domestic cattle). Lineage: Eukaryota; Metazoa; Chordata; Mammalia; Artiodactyla; Bovidae. The record is from RNAcentral. RNAcentral also lists the same sequence under 2 other names.